AAUAUUGGACAAUGGGCGCAAGCCUGAUCCAGCCAUGCCGCGUGAGUGAGGAAGGCCCCAGGUUUGUAAAGCUCUUUCACCGGUGAAGUUAAUAACGGUAACCGGAGAAGAAGCUCCGGUUAACUUCGUGCCAGCAGCCGUGGUAAUACGAAGGGGGCUAGCGUUGUUCGGAUUUACUGGGCGUAAAGCGCCCGUAGGCGGACUUUUAAGUCAGGGGUAAAAUCCCGGGGCUCAACCCCGGAACUGCCUUUGAUACUGGAAGUCGUGAGUAUGGUAGAGGUGAGUGGAAUUCCGAGUGUAGAGGUGAAAUUCGUAGAUAUUCGGAGGAACACCAGUGGCGAAGGCGACUCACUGGACCAUUACUGACGCUGAGGUGCGAAAGCGUGGGGAGCAAAC
This 396-nucleotide ribosomal RNA is filed under the name uncultured bacterium. RNAcentral describes it as "partial 16S ribosomal RNA". It matches the Rfam family "Bacterial small subunit ribosomal RNA", at positions 360 to 773 of the family's 1533-position model. The record is from RNAcentral.